Molecule: ribosomal RNA, 232 nt
Filed under: uncultured bacterium
Lineage: Bacteria
Description: partial 16S ribosomal RNA
Rfam family: Bacterial small subunit ribosomal RNA
Source: RNAcentral
GGACGAACGCUGGCGGCGUGCUUAACACAUGCAAGUCGAGCGGUAAGGACCCGUUUCGGGGGUACACGAGCGGCGAACGGGUGAGUAACACGUGGGUGACCUGCCCUCAGCUCUGGGAUAAGCCUGGGAAACCGGGUCUAAUACUGGAUAUGACUCCAUGACGCAUGUUGUGGGGUGGAAAGCCUUGUGCGGCUGAGGAUGGGCCCGCGGCCUAUCAGCUUGUUGGUGGGGU